RNAcentral lists this ribosomal RNA (271 nucleotides) under uncultured bacterium. Its description in RNAcentral is "partial 16S ribosomal RNA". It matches the Rfam family "Bacterial small subunit ribosomal RNA", at positions 524 to 794 of the family's 1533-position model. The record is from RNAcentral.
UACGUAGGGGGCGAGCGUUGUUCGGAUUUACUGGGCGUAAAGAGCGCGUAGGUGGUUCGAUAAGUCGGAGGUGAAAUCCCUCGGCUCAACCGAGGAUCCGCGUCCGAUACUGUCGGACUUGAGUGCAGGAGAGGAGAGCGGAAUUCCCAAUGUAGCGGUGAAAUGCGUAGAUAUUGGGAGGAACACCGGUGGCGAAGGCGGCUCUCUGGACUGCUACUGACACUGAGGCGCGAAAGCUAGGGGAGCAAACGGGAUUAGAAACCCCGGUAGU